RNAcentral lists this ribosomal RNA (281 nucleotides) under uncultured prokaryote. RNAcentral's name for it is "partial 16S ribosomal RNA". It matches the Rfam family "Bacterial small subunit ribosomal RNA", at positions 524 to 803 of the family's 1533-position model. The record is from RNAcentral.
UACGUAGGGGCUAGCGUUAUCCGGAAUUACUGGGCGUAAAGGGUGCGUAGGUGGUUUCUUAAGUCAGAGGUGAAAGGCUACGGCUCAACCGUAGUAAGCCUUUGAAACUGGGAAACUUGAGUGCAGGAGAGGAGAGUGGAAUUCCUAGUGUAGCGGUGAAAUGCGUAGAUAUUAGGAGGAACACCAGUUGCGAAGGCGGCUCUCUGGACUGUAACUGACACUGAGGCACGAAGGCGUGGGGAGCAAACAGGAUUAGAUACCCCCGUAGUCCCUCGAGCGGG